RNAcentral lists this ribosomal RNA (493 nucleotides) under uncultured bacterium. Its description in RNAcentral is "partial 16S ribosomal RNA". It matches the Rfam family "Bacterial small subunit ribosomal RNA", at positions 30 to 523 of the family's 1533-position model. The record is from RNAcentral.
AUUGAACGCUGGCGGAAUGCCUUACACAUGCAAGUCGAACGGUAACAGGUUAAGCUGACGAGUGGCGAACGGGUGAGUAAUGUAUCGGAACGUGCCCAGUCGUGGGGGAUAACUGCUCGAAAGAGCAGCUAAUACCGCAUACGACCUGAGGGUGAAAGCGGGGGAUCGCAAGACCUCGCGCGAUUGGAGCGGCCGAUAUCAGAUUAGGUAGUUGGUGGGGUAAAGGCCUACCAAGCCGACGAUCUGUAGCUGGUCUGAGAGGACGACCAGCCACACUGGGACUGAGACACGGCCCAGACUCCUACGGGAGGCAGCAGUGGGGAAUUUUGGACAAUGGACGCAAGUCUGAUCCAGCCAUGCCGCGUGCGGGAAGAAGGCUUUCGGGUUGUAAACCGCUUUUGUCAGGGAAGAAACGCUCUGGGUUAAUACCUCGGGGUAAUGACGGUACCUGAAGAAUAAGCACCGGCUAACUACGUGCCAGCCGCCGCGGUAA